This 496-nucleotide ribosomal RNA is filed under the name uncultured bacterium. RNAcentral's name for it is "partial 16S ribosomal RNA". It matches the Rfam family "Bacterial small subunit ribosomal RNA", at positions 29 to 507 of the family's 1533-position model. The record is from RNAcentral.
AUGAACGCUGGCGGCGUGCCUAAUCCCUGCAAGUCGAGCGAACAGACGAGGAGCUUGCUCCUCUGACGUUAGCGGCGGACGGGUGAGUAACCCGUGGAUAACCUACCUAUAAGACUGGGAUAACUUCGGGAAACCGGAGCUAAUACCGGAUAAUAUAUUGAACCGCAUGGUUCAAUAGUGAAAGACGGUUUUGCUGUCACUUAUAGAUGGAUCCGCGCCGCAUUAGCUAGUUGGUAAGGUAACGGCUUACCAAGGCAACGAUGCGUAGCCGACCUGAGAGGGUGAUCGGCCACACUGGAACUGAGACACGGUCCAGACUCCUACGGGAGGCAGCAGUAGGGAAUCUUCCGCAAUGGGCGAAAGCCUGACGGAGCAACGCCGCGUGAGUGAUGAAGGUCUUCGGAUCGGAAAACUCUGUUAUUAGGGAAGAACAAAUGUGUAAGUAACUAUGCACGUCUUGACGGUACCUAAUCAGAAAGCCACGGCUAACUACGUG